Molecule: long non-coding RNA, 4290 nt
Organism: Salvelinus sp. IW2-2015
Lineage: Eukaryota; Metazoa; Chordata; Actinopteri; Salmoniformes; Salmonidae
Source: RefSeq, a predicted model, not a curated record
GGGAAAGGGGAUACUUAGUCAGCAGCACAACUGAAUGCAUUCAACUGAAAUGUGUCUUCCACAUUUAACCCAAACCCUCUGAAUCAGAGGUCCAUCAUAAUGACGUUGUCAAAACCCUGCUCUUUGAAUGGUCCUUCAUAAUGUCAUCGUCAUAAUCCUGCUCGCUCAUUGGUUCUUCGUUACGCUGCUCUCUGAUUGGUCCCUUCAUUACUACGUCGUCAUAACCCUGCUCCCUGAUUGGUGAUCCCUUGAUUACGACAUUACCAUAACCCUGCUCUGCUAGGUUGUUUAUUAUGACAUUGCCAUAACCCUCCUAUCUGAUUGAUCCCUUCAGAAUGGCAUCAUCAUAACCCUACUCUGAUUGGUCCCUUCAUAAUGACAAAUACAGUUCUUGGGCUAUAGCUCCUUGCCAAUAGUGACUUAAUAAACUCUGGCAUAGUGAGCAGGGAGGCAGACAACAAGGUAAAAAAAAAAAUCCUGCCUUUGUUUCAUACUGCCUGGCAUUGAGCACAGUGUGGUCCUAGAAACCUGGCAACUUUCAGUGACAAGAUAAAGAGAAUUUGGGCAUCUAGGCAUUUGAAUGAUUGAUCCCUCUGGGCUCAGGUGAAGUUCAUUGAUGUGACCUCCAGGACUGGAUUAUAUAACGUCGUUGUCAUUUUGCAGUACUGUGGAUAUGGAUAUGUUAAUGUCAGUACAAACUAGUUUAGAUGAGAUUGUGGUGGUAUUUCCAGGAUGCAUAUGAGUUUAUUUAGCAUAAAUCACAUGACGCUUAACAUGACAUAACUAACUUACUGACAUGGAUAUUAAAUGCUCUGUCAUAUAGGCUAUGUGCUCUGUUUUCUAUGAGUUGCCUAGUGUUUUUGCUCUAGUUGAAGGGUUGUAAACUGUGAGCAUUCUAUUUACAAUGCUCUUGCAUGCAUUAUUUACAAUGUUAUCCAACUUCAACUUGCUGACGACUAUGCCUGUGACAGUCUAGCCAUGUCUGAACUGAUAUAAUUGUUGACAGCUUGUACAAGUAUUCAUUGGAGGUUAUCUUUUGUAAGAGUGAGAGGGUGAGAGGCUACAGUGGACCUUAUUAAGUGUGGGACAAGUCUAGUCAAUUCUCUAGCUCCCCUUAAAACACUGAAAAUAUGCUCUAAGUAACAUGUUCGUUUAUGAGAUUAAUUCAGUUAAUGUCAUGGGAAAUCACACUGGUGUAAAGCAAUAUGCAGUGUUGUUUGUUGAUAUGCUUAUCGUUAACAUUACCGUGUAAUCAGAAUUCAGUGUGAUACUACAGUACCAGUAGUGUAGUAACCAAAAAAGUGUUAAACAAAUCAAAAUAUAUUUUAUAUUUGAGAUUCUUCAAAGUAGCCAACCUUUGCCUUGAUGACAGCUUUGCACACUCUUGUAGCCAGCCGCUGUGUGGAGCUUGCAGGGAAACAACCCACAAGAACAAGAUAAUCUCCCGCCACGACAUUGUCUCCCUUGCCAAUCGCACGAUGGGGCCCACAAAACAUGUGGUGUGUUAAAACUACAAUCUUCUUCAAUCUUAAAGUGUUACGUACCCCUUUAAAAACAGCUAGAUGUAUUUUAUGGAUAAACUAGCAGGUGCACAGAAAAUGUUGGUGAAAAUGUUGGUGAAAUCCAAGGCUCUCAAACUCAAAUUCUCUCUUCUCUGAGAUUCCAUUGUAAUGUCUGUAUGUAUGUCUGAUCGUGACUGUUUGUCUGUCUACCCACAGCCCUCCACGAUGAGCUAGCUGUACAUCAUGUUCUCCACAGAGAAGUCCAUGCUGUCCAUCAACUGUUUCAGAGACAUGCAAGUGCGGUGAAGGAGCUCCGGACGUUGGCCAGAGGCCAUCAUCCUGCUGAAGGCCAUGAUCGAGGAGGUCCGAGAGAAUGUUGAUGAGGAGGAGUGCGCAAUCAGCACUAUUUUCAACAAAGUGCAGAACGAAAACAAAUGACAUUCUAGACGACAAAAACAAAGAGCAGCGCAAAGGUGAGAAUACAUUUUUCUUCAUGCUACCUUGCUUGAAAAUCAUGUUUAUCAUGUAGCUCUAAUGUAUAGCCUAUGCUCAGAGAAACUGUUAACCUGUUAUUGUUUGAAUGGGCCUUCCGAACCAAGCGCACACAGAUUCAGCCUCAAUGGCUGUAAACUCAAUUAACUCUCGAAGAAGUAAGUCUUACCACAGACAGACAAUAUGCAUCCCAAAUGCCACCACAUUUGGGAUGCAUAUUGGCCACCAUUCCCUUUAUAGUGAACUACUUUAAACCAGAAGUAGYGCACUAUAUAGGAAAUAGUGUUACAUUCGGGUGCACAAGACUUCCUGCUUUGAGAAUUCAUUAGAGUGUUCAAUACCAAGAGAUAUUGAACACCUAAUGGCUUGUGCCUAAUAUGCCUAAUAUGCCUGCCUAAUAUGUAUCCUGUUCCACAUGUAUAUAUAGAUCCUACUGGGGGAUUAAGGUGUCCAUGGCAGCAGACCAAUAUAGAUUAAAGCCAAAUGAAUAAUAAUGUGUCAGGACUAGCUACAUCAGGCUUGCCUGGCACCACUUUCAACCCAGUAGCAAAUGAGAACAGCUGUCUCAUCUGGCUGCACUCUUACCCACUCUCCAGGUAAUGUCCUGUCUAUGGUAUGCCUGUUUAUCCUGGAGUAGUGAUACAUGUUGCCUAUUUUUACAAUGUCUUAUUCACCGUGCCCAACUGUAUUUGUAAUCCUAAUUGAUGUUCCAUCUUGAGCAGGUGUAAUAUAAUCAACUCAAGCCAAUGUUCUCUUCCACCUUGCUAUGUAAGUAGAGUGUAGUAUGAUGAAUAAUGCCCAAUCUGGUUCUAUGAAUCCAGAAGGGCACAAACCAAAACAUUAAAUGGAAUACUAGCAACUAUGAAUACAGUCUUUAAGCAAAUUUAUUUGACUUUGAUAUCUGUUAUCCAGCGACUAAAGAAGAUUGACUAACUGCCACACAGACUGAGACUAGCUCAGAAUAGCAGUAUUAAGUCCCUCUCUCCGGCCAUCUUGCCUCCUCAACUGAUGUUUGCUCAUGUCACAUCCCAAAUAUACACCCCAUGUGUCUUCUUCUAUGUUUCUGGUUUAGAUCAACACAGAGUAUCGGUCCGAGUUUGCUUAUUGCCUUGAGUCUCUGUUACUGCUGGGCCAAAGACGCUCUGUGUCCAUUGCUGGGAGUGUCGGGAUUGAGUUUGGGCAAUGCCAGCGGACUCCUGCAGUCAUCCCUGUCCCUGCCACUCCCCUCCCAUCAGUGACAUGUCCCUGGGUUCAUCCGUGGUGCCGAAGCCCACCGCUAUAUCAUCACCAAGGUCCUCCUGGUAAAGGUUGGGGAGACCCCAUUUACUGAGCACUGUCGCAACUAUGAGAACAGCUACAGGAUGCUGCAGACAUCCAUUCAGCAGCUGAAGGACCAGGUGCAGGAGACCCACAGGGAUUGACCAAGCACCCUCCUCAUCAAGACAGACACGUCGGAAGACAUCCUUGAUACCUCCGUACAGCCAUAUCUCCCACGAGUACUCUGCAGUGGAACUCAUGAGGGCUGUUUGAGGAGGCUCAUCUCCAUCUUGUUAUCCUUCCCCUAAGUCUGGGAGGAUAUCUUUCAGAGGGUUGCAAAUGAACAGAACAUCUAUGAAGCUUCAUGAUCUGACGCAGCUAAAGAAGAGAACAGAUACCUGACCACCAUCGCCAGGCAAAUCGGCCCCUACAUCCGAUCCAUCGCCAAGGUGAAGGAACGCCUUGAACCCAGACUGAAAGAGCCUAAGGAGCUGAAAGAUUACCGUACAGAGGACAUGCUGAAGACCUCACUAUGGCCACAGAUACUAAACAAACCAUUUUAACAACACAGAUAAAUGACCUGACCUGUACCAGAUGAUAACCACACUCUCAGCAACCUCUGACGAUGCUGCCCUCRAGAACAAUAAUCUACUGACCAGGGAAGCAGAAGAACACAGAGAUUUGGAAGAUGUCUCCCUAAGCAACUGGAUGGGGUCAUGAGACUUCAAUGUGCUCACCCAUAACUUAUGUAAAUUAUAUUGAAUAUAACAUUUAAAUGUUUCUAAGAUUACCCAUAUUAGAACUACAGUAGCAAACCCAUGAAAUAAAACAAUGAAAGGAAGACAAUUUUCUUAGGAUAAAUUUUAUUUUAUUUCACAGGACACUGUUGUUCAAUCAAUUCAGAACAUUUCAGUCAAGUGAAUAAAAGUAAUCAGCCAAGAGAGAGAUAAGUAUUCUCUCUGCAUGAUACAUUUACAUUACCUGUAAUAAACUGUAGUAUUGUUAUACUGUAGUGCAACAACUGGCUUUUUCCAUGUUC